GGCAGGGUCUAGGACCACGGCAGGGGCUGCCACAGCAGGGCCCUGCAGCGUGGGCUGGGUCCUUGUCGCUGAAACAGAGAAGCCACUUCUCUUGGGACCACAAAGCAACUGUCCCAUGCUCUACUGAGCACGGUGCCAUGCCUCUGCAAGUCCUCCUACUGCUGACCCUCUUGGGCCCUGGCAGCAGCUUCCAGCCGUGGGACACCUGGGAAGAUGUGGCCAAACAAGCCCCAGGCCACCUGUUUGCCCGGGCCCGGAGGCAGGUGGACCCUGGGGACGAUGACUUUGACAUGUACGAUGUGUCUUAUAACACAGACCCUCCAGAAAUGCUUGGAAAUGAUGACGCAGAGGCUGUGACCCCGAGCCCCAACCUCCAGGCUGUGACGGGACUACCGGGGCAGGGAGAUACUGCAGGGCCUGGUACUCCUGAGCCGGCCACUCUGGGGGGGGCCAGAGGCGAGUCUGCUGGCCCGGAUGCGGGAGGGGCAACCAUCGGGGACCUCGGCACGGAGUUUGUGACAGUGGGGAUUCCCAUCACGCCGGUCUUUCUGCCCCAAAAGCUGGUCACUUCAAUCCCUCCCAUCAUGGAGGCUUCAUCCACACAGGGGGCUCCACCCACAGAGCUGGCCUCCGUGAGUGCCCUGUUCAUGGGGCCAGCUGCCACGGAGGCUGCGACCACACAACCCGAGGCCACGGAGGCACUGUCCACAGAACCCACGGUCAUAGAGGCACUGUCCACAGAACCCACGGUCAUGGAGGCACUGUCCACAGAACCCUCAGUCAUGGAGGCACUGUCCACCCAACCUGUGGCCACAGAGGCCCUGACCACACAACCCGUGGCCACAGAGGCCCUGACCACACAACCCGUGGCCACGGAGGCCCUGACCACAACGCUAGCUGCCAUGGAGGCACUGUCCACAGCAUUAGCUGCCACAGAGGCCCCUGACACGGAGGCCCCUUCCACAGAGCCGGCUGCCACGGAGACCCUGCCCAAGGACCCAGCCACCAUGAAGGCCCCAUCCACACAACCUGCUACCCCACGGGACCUAACCACAGCCCAUCCUGUGCCCUCUGACCCCCCCGGGGGCACCGCUGUGGCGGUCAGCACUUCGUCUGGUGGCUCCAUCAAACAGCAGGAACUCAGCCAGGCGCUCUCCCCCCGGAGCCCCGUGUCCUCCAGCCCCGCCGGCGGCCUGGACUACAUCCCGGUGAAGCACUGCCUGCUGGCCAUCCUCGUGCUGGCCCUGGUGGCCACCACCUUCCUCGUGUGCACCGUGGUGCUGGCCGUCCGCCUUUCCCGCAAGAACCACAUGUACCCCGUGCGCAACUACUCGCCUACCGAGAUGGUCUGCAUCUCGGCCCUGCUGCCCGAGGGGGAGGAGGGGCCCGCCGUCACCGCCAACGGCAGCCUGCCCGCCGCCAAGAAGCCAGGCCGAAGGGAAGGGUCCGGGGAGGACCGCGAAGGGGACGACCUCACCCUGCACAGCUUUCUCCCUUAGCUCCCCUGCCCAACCGCUGGAGCAGGACCCCUGUCUCCCUGCUCCCGCCGCUGCCCUCCCGGCCACUGCCACCCACCAGGCUUGGGCCGUGCGUCUGGGCUUCAAUGAAGUCCCCCAGGGGUAAAGACCUUAGGGCAGAGCCUCUGGCCGCUCCCCCAGGCCCGAGGGCAGCCGUGGUUUCCCCUCCCUCCUUGGCUGCUGGAGCCUCUCUCUCCUGAACCCAGGGAAGACUCCGGGCCCUGCCCUCGCCCCACAGCUGCUGCCCCCUGGUGGCCACGUUCGUCAUGCAUUUUGGGGACAGGUACUGAGCAGUGCUGGGCUGCGGAGGCCACUUCCUGCUGCUGCCCCACAGAAGGGCGGCUUGAAUUUUCCCAGAUACUCCCCCCCAGAGCCCAGGGCAAGGCCUUGCCCUGGAAGGCCGGGGCAGGCUUGGCGAGCCGAAGGCUACACACUUUUCUGACGCUGUGCGGACUGGCAAACAUCCUUCGGGACACAGAGUAGCCCCCCUUCC
This is an RNA transcript of Phyllostomus discolor (pale spear-nosed bat), 2010 nucleotides long. It is a transcript of the gene named selectin P ligand, with no coding region annotated. Lineage: Eukaryota; Metazoa; Chordata; Mammalia; Chiroptera; Phyllostomidae. The record is from RefSeq and is a predicted model, not a curated record. The transcript has 5 exons.